This 1807-nucleotide long non-coding RNA is filed under the name Homo sapiens (human). RNAcentral's name for it is "non-protein coding lnc-SPIRE2-1:2". Lineage: Eukaryota; Metazoa; Chordata; Mammalia; Primates; Hominidae. The record is from RNAcentral.
CACUUUUGUUUCUUUUCUUUUUUUUUUUUUUCCUUUUUUUGAGACGGAGUCUCCCUCUGUCGCCCAGGCUGGAGUGCAGUGGCGCGAUCUCGGCUCACUGCAACGUCUGCCUCCUGGGUUCAGGUGAUUCUCCUGCCUCAGCCUCCCGAGUAGCUGGGAUUGCAGGUGCGCGCCACCACGCCUGGAUGAUUUUUGUUAUUUUUAGUAGAGACAGCGUUUCGCCAUGUUGGCCCAGGCUAGUCUCGAACUCCGGACCUCAGGUGAUCCGCCCGCCUCGGCCUCCCAAAGUGCUGGGAUUACAGGCGUGAGCCACCGCACCCGGCUGAGACCCUAUCUUUUAACCAGCCUGGGCGGCAGAGCGAGACUCUGUCUCAAAACAAAACCAAACAUAAGAAUUCGUAAAAGCGAGUGCCUAGGCGAAGCUAAUGUGCCUCAAAGUCCUGGGUAAGUAGAGGCCCUGGAGACCCGUCCGCAUCCUCUGGCAGUGGCCUUGGAACCACCGAAGGGAUUCAGCCGAAGGGCCGCGUUCCCGGCAGGCGUCUUUAUUGUGUUGAUUACGUAGAUGGCGUAGAUGACGUAGAUGACGUUCAGCACCACAAACGAAGAGCCGAGGCACAGAGUGGGGCCUUGGAUUCAUGAGAUGGGGAUGGAGCAGAAAUGAGAAUUCGGAGUCCAUGAAACCCCCACAAAGACUCCUGCACGGCCCGACUCGGACACUUUGCAAUCUGCUGGUUGAGGGGGAUGGUGUGAACUCAGGGAACAGCCUGAGAUCGCGCCGCUGCACUCCAGCCUGGGCAACAGAGCAAGACCCUGUUUCAAAAACAAAAAAUAACACUAAGCAAUUAACAGGACUAGACUCAGAGGUGAUCGAGAAAUUGAAACAGGCUGGAAAUUUAAAUUAACUGUGAUUAAUAUGUGGAGGUCUCUUGUACGAAAGGUGAACAAUAUGCAUGAGGAGGAAACUCAUCAAAUUAUAAGAAAGGAAGAACGCUGAUAACAGGUAAUUUUUCUGAUGGGGCAGCAGUAGGAUCAACACAGCUGAGAAAAAUAGGAAUUACCCACGUUGGAAAAUAAAGAAGAAAAAAAGUUUUUUUUUAAAAAAAGCAUCCAAGAACUGUGGGAAAAUAUCAAAUGAUAUCAUAUGCAUGUAAUAGGACUCCCAAAAGAAGAAGAAAGAACAAAUCAUAAAAAAUGUUUGAAGAGAAAAUUACCAAUAAUUUUCCCAAAAUAAUGAAAGACCUGAGCUCAGAGCACACACAAAACUUGAUAAAUAUGAGCCCCUGCCUGACACAUGCAGUGUAUUCAAACUGUGGAAAUCAGAGAGAAAACCAUGAAGAUGGCCGGAGGAAAAAGAUACGUUAAAUACAGUAACAAAGAAUCGCAGCGUGUGUCUCUCUUCACCAUACCGCACGGGUCCUGCUCGCUGACCCAGCCCGCCUGCUGUCCAGGGCUUCCUCUGUCUCUGCUCUGGGACCUCCCCAUGGCCACGCAUUCCGCCGCAUGGUCUGGAUCCCUCGCGGUGUCUGGGUUCAGCCAUGCUCAGCCUCUGUGUCGGUCACCAGCCUAGAAACCCUGGAGCACCCCGGGCCGGAACCCUUCCCUCAGAUCUGUCGUGAGUUCCCUUUCAGAGAUCAAGCCCAGCCUGGCUCAGUCUUGCACCCCUUGGGAUCCACGGCCUGUAUAGUUACCCUAAAAUAAACACAACACAAAACCAGGGCUCUCAAAUGUCUGCUUUUCCUCCUGGGCCCCUGAGCUCUGACCCUGCCUGGCUGCACAGACUGUGACAAAGAGAGUAUUCAGGGGCCUC